RNAcentral lists this ribosomal RNA (377 nucleotides) under uncultured bacterium. RNAcentral describes it as "bacterial SSU rRNA". It matches the Rfam family "Bacterial small subunit ribosomal RNA", at positions 521 to 896 of the family's 1533-position model. The record is from RNAcentral.
UAAUACGUACCGUCCAAACGUUAUUCGGAAUUACUGGGCUUAAAGGGUACGUAGGCGGCGCUGUCAGUCGGGUGUGAAAUCCCUCGGCUCAACCGAGGAACUGCGCCCGAUACUGCAGUGCUUGAGGGAGACAGAGGUAAGCGGAACUGAUGGUGGAGCGGUGAAAUGCGUUGAUAUCAUCAGGAACACCAGUGGCGAAAGCGGCUUACUGGGUCUCUUCUGACGCUGAGGUACGAAAGCUAGGGGAGCGAAGGGGAUUAGAUACCCCCGUAGUCCUAGCUGUAAACGUUGAGCACUUGAUCGUGGGGCCCCCCAUAGCCUCUCGGUCGUAGCGAAAGUGUUAAGUGCUCCGCCUGGGGAGUAUGGUCGCAAGGCUG